UGGCUCAGAACGAACGCUGGCGGCGCGUUUAAGCAUGCAAGUCGAGCGGCAAGGGCCUUCGGGCCCCUAGAGCGGCGGACGGGUGAGUAACACGUGGACAAUCUGCCCCCCGGCCCGGGGUAGCCCAGGGAAACCUGGAUUAAUACCGGAUGAGACGGGACCCGCGAUGGCGGGACCCGGGAAAGGCGCUGCGGCGCCGCCGGGGGAUGAGUCUGCGUCCCAUUAGCUAGACGGCGGGGUAACGGCCCACCGUGGCGACGAUGGGUAGCCGGCCUGAGAGGGUGGACGGCCACAUUGGAACUGAGACACGGUCCAGACUCCUACGGGAGGCAGCAGCUAAGAAUCUUCCGCAAUGGGCGAAAGCCUGACGGAGCGACGCCCGCGUGAACGAAGAAGGCCGUGAGGUUGUAAAGUUCUUUUCGGGAGGGGGAACAACCGUGGCAGGGAAUGGCCGCGGGAUGACGUGAAUCCCGGAAUAAGCUCCGGCUAACUACGUGCCAGCCGCCGC
Molecule: ribosomal RNA, 508 nt
Filed under: uncultured bacterium
Lineage: Bacteria
Description: bacterial SSU rRNA
Rfam family: Bacterial small subunit ribosomal RNA
Source: RNAcentral